GAAAAGAAAAACAAAAAUGAUGUUGCAUCAGGUCUUCUUGUUUUCCCUUUUUCUUUUUUUUUUUUUUUUU
Molecule: non-coding RNA, 70 nt
Filed under: Platyophrya macrostoma
Lineage: Eukaryota; Ciliophora; Colpodea; Cyrtolophosidida; Platyophryidae
Source: RNAcentral